UUCUAGGAGGAUUAAACAAAAUGAGAGCUUUUUCUUGAGUCGGCGGAUGGUGGUGCAUGUCCGCUCUUAAUUGGUGGAGCGAUUUGUCCGGUUGAUUCCGAUAACGAACGAGGCUCUAGCCUAUUAAAUAUGUGCGUGGUUGCCUGCACCUUGCACCAUUCUUAGGACAAGUGGCUCCUAGCAGUGUUGUACGGAACGGCGUUCCAAGGAACGGCGUUCCUGGAACGCGUUCCUUUUAGGAGGAACGAAGGAACGCCGCCGUUCCAUUUUGCAUCCAUGGAACUGGAACGGGAACUCAUUACAUUUUUA
Molecule: ribosomal RNA, 309 nt
Filed under: Ixodes scapularis (black-legged tick)
Lineage: Eukaryota; Metazoa; Arthropoda; Arachnida; Ixodida; Ixodidae
Description: eukaryotic small subunit ribosomal RNA
Rfam family: Eukaryotic small subunit ribosomal RNA
Source: RNAcentral